UUAAGCGACUAAGCGUACACGGUGGAUGCCCUGGCAGUCAGAGGCGAUGAAGGACGUGCUAAUCUGCGAUAAGCGUCGGUAAGGUGAUAUGAACCGUUAUAACCGGCGAUUUCCGAAUGGGGAAACCCAGUGUGUUUCGACACACUAUCAUUAACUGAAUCCAUAGGUUAAUGAGGCGAACCGGGGGAACUGAAACAUCUAAGUACCCCGAGGAAAAGAAAUCAACCGAGAUUCCCCCAGUAGCGGCGAGCGAACGGGGAGCAGCCCAGAGCCUGAAUCAGUGUGUGUGUUAGUGGAAGCGUCUGGAAAGGCGCGCGAUACAGGGUGACAGCCCCGUACACAAAAAUGCACAUGCUGUGAGCUCGAUGAGUAGGGCGGGACACGUGGUAUCCUGUCUGAAUAUGGGGGGACCAUCCUCCAAGGCUAAAUACUCCUGACUGACCGAUAGUGAACCAGUACCGUGAGGGAAAGGCGAAAAGAACCCCGGCGAGGGGAGUGAAAAAGAACCUGAAACCGUGUACGUACAAGCAGUGGGAGCACGCUUAGGCGUGUGACUGCGUACCUUUUGUAUAAUGGGUCAGCGACUUAUAUUCUGUAGCAAGGUUAACCGAAUAGGGGAGCCGAAGGGAAACCGAGUCUUAACUGGGCGUUAAGUUGCAGGGUAUAGACCCGAAACCCGGUGAUCUAGCCAUGGGCAGGUUGAAGGUUGGGUAACACUAACUGGAGGACCGAACCGACUAAUGUUGAAAAAUUAGCGGAUGACUUGUGGCUGGGGGUGAAAGGCCAAUCAAACCGGGAGAUAGCUGGUUCUCCCCGAAAGCUAUUUAGGUAGCGCCUCGUGAAUUCAUCUCCGGGGGUAGAGCACUGUUUCGGCAAGGGGGUCAUCCCGACUUACCAACCCGAUGCAAACUGCGAAUACCGGAGAAUGUUAUCACGGGAGACACACGGCGGGUGCUAACGUCCGUCGUGAAGAGGGAAACAACCCAGACCGCCAGCUAAGGUCCCAAAGUCAUGGUUAAGUGGGAAACGAUGUGGGAAGGCCCAGACAGCCAGGAUGUUGGCUUAGAAGCAGCCAUCAUUUAAAGAAAGCGUAAUAGCUCACUGGUCGAGUCGGCCUGCGCGGAAGAUGUAACGGGGCUAAACCAUGCACCGAAGCUGCGGCAGCGACGCUUAUGCGUUGUUGGGUAGGGGAGCGUUCUGUAAGCCUGCGAAGGUGUGCUGUGAGGCAUGCUGGAGGUAUCAGAAGUGCGAAUGCUGACAUAAGUAACGAUAAAGCGGGUGAAAAGCCCGCUCGCCGGAAGACCAAGGGUUCCUGUCCAACGUUAAUCGGGGCAGGGUGAGUCGACCCCUAAGGCGAGGCCGAAAGGCGUAGUCGAUGGGAAACAGGUUAAUAUUCCUGUACUUGGUGUUACUGCGAAGGGGGGACGGAGAAGGCUAUGUUGGCCGGGCGACGGUUGUCCCGGUUUAAGCGUGUAGGCUGGUUUUCCAGGCAAAUCCGGAAAAUCAAGGCUGAGGCGUGAUGACGAGGCACUACGGUGCUGAAGCAACAAAUGCCCUGCUUCCAGGAAAAGCCUCUAAGCAUCAGGUAACAUCAAAUCGUACCCCAAACCGACACAGGUGGUCAGGUAGAGAAUACCAAGGCGCUUGAGAGAACUCGGGUGAAGGAACUAGGCAAAAUGGUGCCGUAACUUCGGGAGAAGGCACGCUGAUAUGUAGGUGAAGUCCCUCGCGGAUGGAGCUGAAAUCAGUCGAAGAUACCAGCUGGCUGCAACUGUUUAUUAAAAACACAGCACUGUGCAAACACGAAAGUGGACGUAUACGGUGUGACGCCUGCCCGGUGCCGGAAGGUUAAUUGAUGGGGUUAGCGCAAGCGAAGCUCUUGAUCGAAGCCCCGGUAAACGGCGGCCGUAACUAUAACGGUCCUAAGGUAGCGAAAUUCCUUGUCGGGUAAGUUCCGACCUGCACGAAUGGCGUAAUGAUGGCCAGGCUGUCUCCACCCGAGACUCAGUGAAAUUGAACUCGCUGUGAAGAUGCAGUGUACCCGCGGCAAGACGGAAAGACCCCGUGAACCUUUACUAUAGCUUGACACUGAACAUUGAGCCUUGAUGUGUAGGAUAGGUGGGAGGCUUUGAAGUGUGGACGCCAGUCUGCAUGGAGCCGACCUUGAAAUACCACCCUUUAAUGUUUGAUGUUCUAACGUGGACCCGUAAUCCGGGUUGCGGACAGUGUCUGGUGGGUAGUUUGACUGGGGCGGUCUCCUCCUAAAGAGUAACGGAGGAGCACGAAGGUUGGCUAAUCCUGGUCGGACAUCAGGAGGUUAGUGCAAUGGCAUAAGCCAGCUUGACUGCGAGCGUGACGGCGCGAGCAGGUGCGAAAGCAGGUCAUAGUGAUCCGGUGGUUCUGAAUGGAAGGGCCAUCGCUCAACGGAUAAAAGGUACUCCGGGGAUAACAGGCUGAUACCGCCCAAGAGUUCAUAUCGACGGCGGUGUUUGGCACCUCGAUGUCGGCUCAUCACAUCCUGGGGCUGAAGUAGGUCCCAAGGGUAUGGCUGUUCGCCAUUUAAAGUGGUACGCGAGCUGGGUUUAGAACGUCGUGAGACAGUUCGGUCCCUAUCUGCCGUGGGCGCUGGAGAACUGAGGGGGGCUGCUCCUAGUACGAGAGGACCGGAGUGGACGCAUCACUGGUGUUCGGGUUGUCAUGCCAAUGGCACUGCCCGGUAGCUAAAUGCGGAAGAGAUAAGUGCUGAAAGCAUCUAAGCACGAAACUUGCCCCGAGAUGAGUUCUCCCUGACUCCUUGAGAGUCCUGAAGGAACGUUGAAGACGACGACGUUGAUAGGCCGGGUGUGUAAGCGCAGCGAUGCGUUGAGCUAACCGGUACUAAUGAACCGUGAGGCUUAACCUU
RNAcentral lists this ribosomal RNA (2902 nucleotides) under Escherichia coli. RNAcentral's name for it is "bacterial LSU rRNA". It matches the Rfam family "Bacterial large subunit ribosomal RNA". The record is from RNAcentral. RNAcentral also lists the same sequence under 1 other name. Lineage: Bacteria; Pseudomonadati; Pseudomonadota; Gammaproteobacteria; Enterobacterales; Enterobacteriaceae.